RNAcentral lists this ribosomal RNA (1458 nucleotides) under uncultured organism. RNAcentral describes it as "SSU rRNA". It matches the Rfam family "Bacterial small subunit ribosomal RNA". The record is from RNAcentral.
GGCCUAACACAUGCAAGUCGAACGGUAACAGGAAGAAGCUUGCUUCUUUGCUGACGAGUGGCGGACGGGUGAGUAAUGUCUGGGAAACUGCCUGAUGGAGGGGGAUAACUACUGGAAACGGUAGCUAAUACCGCAUAACGUCGCAAGACCAAAGAGGGGGACCUUCGGGCCUCUUGCCAUCGGAUGUGCCCAGAUGGGAUUAGCUAGUAGGUGGGGUAACGGCUCACCUAGGCGACGAUCCCUAGCUGGUCUGAGAGGAUGACCAGCCACACUGGAACUGAGACACGGUCCAGACUCCUACGGGAGGCAGCAGUGGGGAAUAUUGCACAAUGGGCGCAAGCCUGAUGCAGCCAUGCCGCGUGUAUGAAGAAGGCCUUCGGGUUGUAAAGUACUUUCAGCGGGGAGGAAGGGAGUAAAGUUAAUACCUUUGCUCAUUGACGUUACCCGCAGAAGAAGCACCGGCUAACUCCGUGCCAGCAGCCGCGGUAAUACGGAGGGUGCAAGCGUUAAUCGGAAUUACUGGGCGUAAAGCGCACGCAGGCGGUUUGUUAAGUCAGAUGUGAAAUCCCCGGGCUCAACCUGGGAACUGCAUCUGAUACUGGCAAGCUUGAGUCUCGUAGAGGGGGGUAGAAUUCCAGGUGUAGCGGUGAAAUGCGUAGAGAUCUGGAGGAAUACCGGUGGCGAAGGCGGCCCCCUGGACGAAGACUGACGCUCAGGUGCGAAAGCGUGGGGAGCAAACAGGGUUAGAUACCCUGGUAGUCCACGCCGUAAACGAUGUCGACUUGGAGGUUGUGCCCUUGAGGCGUGGCUUCCGGAGCUAACGCGUUAAGUCGACCGCCUGGGGAGUACGGCCGCAAGGUUAAAACUCAAAUGAAUUGACGGGGGCCCGCACAAGCGGUGGAGCAUGUGGUUUAAUUCGAUGCAACGCGAAGAACCUUACCUGGUCUUGACAUCCACGGAAGUUUUCAGAGAUGAGAAUGUGCCUUCGGGAACCGUGAGACAGGUGCUGCAUGGCUGUCGUCAGCUCGUGUUGUGAAAUGUUGGGUUAAGUCCCGCAACGAGCGCAACCCUUAUCCUUUGUUGCCAGCGGUCCGGCCGGGAACUCAAAGGAGACUGCCAGUGAUAAACUGGAGGAAGGUGGGGAUGACGUCAAGUCAUCAUGGCCCUUACGACCAGGGCUACACACGUGCUACAAUGGCGCAUACAAAGAGAAGCGACCUCGCGAGAGCAAGCGGACCUCAUAAAGUGCGUCGUAGUCCGGAUUGGAGUCUGCAACUCGACUCCAUGAAGUCGGAAUCGCUAGUAAUCGUGGAUCAGAAUGCCACGGUGAAUACGUUCCCGGGCCUUGUACACACCGCCCGUCACACCAUGGGAGUGGGUUGCAAAAGAAGUAGGUAGCUUAACCUUCGGGAGGGCGCUUACCACUUUGUGAUUCAUGACUGGGGUGAAGUCAUAACA